CAAGUCGAACGAGAAUGUAGGCUUCGGUCUACUAGUAAAGUGGCGGACGGGUGCGUAACACGUAGGUAAUCUACCUUCCGGCGGGGGACAACAGUCCGAAAGGAUUGCUAAUACCGCAUACGUCGGCGAGGUCUUCGGAUCUUGUCGGGAAAGAUGGCCUCUCCUUGGAAGCUGUCACCGGAAGAUGAACCUGCGGCCCAUCAGCUAGUUGGUGAGGUAACGGCUCACCAAGGCUAAGACGGGUAGCUGGUCUGAGAGGAUGAUCAGCCACACUGGGACUGCGACACGGCCCAGACUCCUACGGGAGGCAGCAGUGGGGAAUAUUGGGCAAUGGGCGAAAGCCUGACCCAGCCACGCCGCGUGAGUGAUGAAGGCCUUCGGGUCGUAAAGCUCUGUGGGGAGGGACGAAUAAGCACGGUGCUAAUAUCACCGGGCCCUGACGGUACCUCCUUAGCAAGCACCGGCUAACCAUGUGCCAGCAGCCGCGGUAAUACAUGGGGUGCAAACGUUGCUCGGAAUUAUUGGGCGUAAAGCGCACGUAGGCGGUCCGUUAUGUCGGACGUGAAAGCCCUCGGCUCAACCGAGGAAGUGCAUCCGAAACUGGCGGGCUAGAGUACGAAAGAGGGUCGCGGAAUUCCCGGUGUAGAGGUGAAAUUCGUAGAUAUCGGGAGGAACACCGGUGGCGAAGGCGGCGAUCUGGGUCGAUACUGACGCUGAGGUGCGAAAAGCGUGGGGAGCAAACAGGAUUAGAUACCCCUGGUAGUCCACGCCGUAAACGAUGAGUGCUAGAUGUUUUCGGGUAUUGACCCCCGAGGUGU
This 818-nucleotide ribosomal RNA is filed under the name uncultured delta proteobacterium. RNAcentral describes it as "bacterial SSU rRNA". It matches the Rfam family "Bacterial small subunit ribosomal RNA", at positions 58 to 846 of the family's 1533-position model. Lineage: Bacteria; Deltaproteobacteria. The record is from RNAcentral.